UCCGAAGGGGGCUAGCGUUGCGCGGAAUCACUGGGCGUAAAGGGUGCGUAGGCGGGUCUUUAAGGCAGGGGUGAAAUCCUGGAGCUCAACUCCAGAACUGCCUUUGAUAAUGAGGAUCUUGAGUUCGGGAGAGGUGAGUGGAACUGCGAGUGUAGAGGUGAAAUUCGUAGAUAUUCGCAAGAACACCAGUGGCGAAGGCGGCUCACUGGCCCGGUACUGACGCUGAGGUGCGAAAGCGUGGGGAGCGAACAGG
Molecule: ribosomal RNA, 253 nt
Filed under: uncultured bacterium
Lineage: Bacteria
Description: partial 16S ribosomal RNA
Rfam family: Bacterial small subunit ribosomal RNA
Source: RNAcentral